CGGUUAACAGAGGGAUGCAAAUCCGCGAGGAGGAGCGAACCCCCAAAAGCCGUCCCAGUUCGGAUUGCAGGCUGCAACCCGCCUGCAUGAAGUCGGAAUCGCUAGUAAUCGCGGAUCAGCAUGCCGCGGUGAAUACGUUCCCGGGCCUUGUACACACCGCCCGUCACACCAUGAGAGUCGGGAACACCCGAAGUCCGUAGCCUAACCUUUAUCGGAGGGCGCGGCCGAAGGUGGGUUCGAUAAUUGGGGUGAAGUCGUAACAAGGUAGC
RNAcentral lists this ribosomal RNA (269 nucleotides) under uncultured bacterium. Its description in RNAcentral is "partial 16S ribosomal RNA". It matches the Rfam family "Bacterial small subunit ribosomal RNA", at positions 1234 to 1500 of the family's 1533-position model. The record is from RNAcentral.